GGGGGCGGAAUCUGGCGGGUCGCUACAGAGCGUGUCAGCCGGCGCCUCCACCAUCCUGGACUCCAGCUCCAGUCUGGACACACCCGCGAAUGACAACAGCAGACAACCUGCAAGAGCGAGUAGCAAGAGCAAGGUGGCUCCAGCCCCGCCGGUGCUGCCGAGUGCUGGCGCGGUGAGCCCGGCCCUCAUGAGUGAUCACCUGUGUGGCGCCGGCGGCCGCUCGGGAGUGGCCUGGCCCAGUGCCACCAUCCCCGCGCGGGUCAAGAAGCUGAGCUGGGACGAGCGAGUCGCAACAACCACGGACGAGGAGAGCCGCGACGUGACAGAGGCCACCAACCCGACCCUGGCUGAACACAUGAACCUCACCGUCUACUUCUAGCUGAUCCACCGUCUCCUUCACCCAGCGAGGGGUCUAACGAGCGCCCAGUGACGAUCAACUACAUGACUUCCACCUCGUGUUGCUAUAACACAUCUACAGUAAUUUGUGAUAUAAGAAUCAAUAUUGUGCUUUCUCCUUGUCAAUUAUGAAUAGAAAGUUUAUUUAUUGUUCGAGGAACUCAAUCUCAAACAUAACAAUGUUGUAAUAUAAAUUGAAAAUCGUAUGAUGAUAGGAUACUUAGGAAGCAUAAGAAAUAACAUUGUCAUUAUGUGGUCAUCAUCAGCGAACCGUGAUCAGUAUCAGUGGAGUUUACCAGUGGGAGGCUCCUUUGCACCGGAUGCUGGCUAGAUUAUGGGUACCACAACGGCGCCUAUUUCUGCCGUGAUGCAGUAAUAUGUAUACAUUACUGUGUUUCGGUCUGAAGGGCGCCGUAGCUAGUGAAAUUAAUGGGCAAAUGAGACUUAACAUCUUAUGUCUCAAGGUGACGAGCGCAAUUGUAGUGCCACUCAUAUUUUUGGGUUUUUCUAUAAUCCUGAGCGGCACUGCAUUGUAAUGGGCAGGGCGUAUCACUUACCAACAGCUGAACGUCCUGCUCGUCUCGUCCCUUAUUUUCAUUUAAAAAAAAGUCGCCCCGAGACAGAUCUGGUUUACACAUACGUGUUUUUGUUGUAGAUAUUUAUAAAAUAAAACAUAAACAUUUUAAUUUGAUGUUUUUGAUAUUAAUAUUGACGGCUACAAGAAAUUAUUAAACAAGUUACCCCGGUCCUGUAGGUCAGUAGCCUUUGGAACGUGAUCAUAAGUUAGAAACUACUAUCUCUGAAGAAGAUAUUUCUUAAAAUAUACAAAUCCAUUGUCCUGAUGUUUGUUUCCAGUGAACUCCUAAACUAAUGAAUGAAUUUAAUGGGGAUUACUUCAUGGAGUGCAAUUUAGUCCAACUUGAGGGAAAGUAUAGUUUUUAUUUCGAUUUGAGACCCAUAAUUAUUUUUAUUUCCAAUAUUUGUUUUGUAUGGACAUAUUUCUAUGCGAGAAUUUAUUGACGCACGGUUUGACAGUUCUGCUGUAAAACAAUUACAUUAUAACAAUAGGGAGCGUUUUUUACGAAAUAAUCCUUGAUGUUUUGAAAUAUUAUUGACAAAUUCAUAAAAAAACAGUAUUUUAUUUAUUAUGUACAGAACAACGUCUGUCGGGUCAGCUAGUGAUCUGUAUGAUAUUGUAGCUAUUUCCGUGUUGAAGAGGGAGACUUGAGGUGGUUUUGUAUGGCGUUAUGAGUUGUGUCAUUCUCUCACUUGGUCCUAGUACUACUGAUGUACAAAAUGUUAUUGUGUUACUAAGAUUAAGUUUUACUUAUAUUAAAUAUUUUUAUUCUACAAUAACAAUGUAAUCAUGUACAUACCUAUAGAUCAGUAUUUAAUAUUAAGGUCUACAUUAAGAAUAAAUU
Leptidea sinapis is the source of this 1817-nucleotide long non-coding RNA. RefSeq lists it as uncharacterized. The transcript has 3 exons. Lineage: Eukaryota; Metazoa; Arthropoda; Insecta; Lepidoptera; Pieridae. The record is from RefSeq and is a predicted model, not a curated record.